RNAcentral lists this unclassified non-coding RNA (227 nucleotides) under uncultured fungus. Its description in RNAcentral is "sequence contains ITS1, 5.8S rRNA gene". The stretch from base 179 to 227 matches the Rfam family "5.8S ribosomal RNA", at positions 1 to 49 of the family's 154-position model. The record is from RNAcentral. Lineage: Eukaryota; Fungi.
UCUCCGUAGGUGAACCUGCGGAGGGAUCAUUACCGAGUGAGGGCUCACGCCCGACCUCCCACCCUGUGUGAACACAUCUUGUUGCUUCGGGGGCGACCCUGCCGUUCGCGGCGUGGGGCCCCCGGAGCCCAUCAAACCCUGCGUAACCAAGUCGUCGGAGUUUAAACAAAUUAAACAAAACUUUCAACAACGGAUCUCUUGGUUCGGGCAUCGAUGAAGAACGCAGC